AUACUUACCUGGCAGGGAGAUACCAUGAUCACAAAGGUGAUUUUCCCAAGGCGAGGCUUAUCCAUUGCUCUCUGGAUGUGCUGACCCCUGUGAUUUAAAUGGAAUGGUUUACAUUUAAAAAGAGUGUGCAGUCAUCACCACAAU
This 144-nucleotide small nuclear RNA is filed under the name Echinops telfairi (small Madagascar hedgehog). RNAcentral describes it as "U1 spliceosomal RNA (ENSETEG00000021687.1)". It matches the Rfam family "U1 spliceosomal RNA", at positions 1 to 128 of the family's 166-position model. From Rfam's summary of the family: U1 is a small nuclear RNA (snRNA) component of the spliceosome (involved in pre-mRNA splicing). The record is from RNAcentral. Lineage: Eukaryota; Metazoa; Chordata; Mammalia; Afrosoricida; Tenrecidae.